AAAUAGCCCGCGCCAGCCUAUUCUUAACCUACAAAGCUCUUUCUUUAUCCGUUAAAGCAACAACCUUCCAUUUGCCUCCCUGUCCUUCACCUCAAUUUCGUUCUGUCUAUAUAUCUAUCUAAGAUUUAUUUUAGGGCAUGAUUUUGAGAUUUUGUUAAUAACCCAAUUCUCUAAUUGGGAUAACAAAUCACCAGGCUUAAUUCGAUCGGUAGUGUUGUCUCUUUUAGAAAUAUCAGACCUUUUCUUUUUCUUUUUUCUUUUCGUGUUUUAUCUCAGAAAAUCUUAUAGAUUUUCUGCAAAGCUAGCUCUUGAAAGAUGGUAAUUUGUGAUCUUGUAUCUCGCACGGGAAGAGAGUCGCAAAGAUACAACAACUUGGGUUGCCGACAAGUUGCAGGAUGCAUUCCAUACAGAUACAAAGAUGGUAGUGAUGGUAGCAAUAUUAGCAAUGAAUUAGAAGUACUUGUGAUUAGUUCACAGAAUGGUCAAGGAUUGACAUUCCCCAAGGGUGGUUGGGAACUCGACGAAUCAGUGGAAGAAGCAGCUUCCCGUGAGUCUCUUGAAGAGGCCGGGGUUCGUGGCAAUGUCGAGUAUGAAUUGGGAAAAUGGAGCUUCAUUAGCAAACGCUAUGGCACAUGCUAUGAAGGCUACAUGUUCGCUUUACUAGUCCAAGAGCAACUUGAUCUAUGGCCGGAGAAGAAUAUCCGCAGGAGAAUAUGGAUGACGGCGGCUGAAGCAAGAGAAGUUUGUCAGCAUGGGUGGAUGAAGGAAGCCUUGGACAAAUUGGUUGAAAGGCUUACAUCUCCACAGCAGCGGAAGGAAGAAGAUUUUGAUGAUCAGCUCCCAUCUUAAUACUAAAGUUGUUCUGUACAUAAUGUUGUUUUUUAUUUUUUACGUGGACUAGCUGCUAGCGUACGUACGUAGUUAAUUAUUUAUUGCAUGUGUGUUCAUAAAGGAUGAGCCAUUUUUUUGUGGACGUACGUAUGAGGAAGCCCCCGGCCUACUCUAGUACUCCCCCAAAAAAAAAAAGAAAAAGAAAAGAUAUUGGCUUAUUUGAGUACUAGUUGAUCUAGUACUACGACUACUUGGUGCAUGCCCUGUGAAGGGAGAGCUCAGUACUACGUAAUCAUGAUGAUCACGGCCAAUACACGCAAGAUACAUGCCUGCCUUUAAUUAUCUUCAUUUAGCUAGCCAUCAAGAUAGCUAGGGAUCGAUAAUGAAGCUGGCCAUAAACACGUACGUACAUGAUUAACGGAUGGAGUACUCAUGUUCAUUCCUCAACAAUAAUUGGAGAUCAUCAUAUGCUGCUUGACUAUAUGAGAUCAUUUACAUAAUGCUUUAUGCGCGCACUCUUGGACGACAAAGUACCGGUACUGGAUUAAAGCAAGCGAAACAAGGAAAGUAGCUAGGGGUUUCAAUUAGCUAGAACUAGCUAGCACUAUAUAUAUAUAUGUAAUGUAUGAGAAAGGAUAAAUUUCUUGAUCAGGGGCUUUCUUGAUCUCCUGCCAAUCAGACAAUAAUAUUGUCAGCUUCUAGAUGGGAGAUUUUAAUAUGAAAGCUCUCUAGCUAGCUCUCCUGCAUGCAUGUAUUUAAUUAGGUAUUGAUGGAUAUAGGUUUAGUACUUGUCUUGUAUCUGGUUAUAAACUGAAUACUUCUCUUAUAUGGAUUAAUGU
Juglans microcarpa x Juglans regia is the source of this 1670-nucleotide RNA transcript. It is a transcript of the gene named nudix hydrolase 18, mitochondrial-like, with no coding region annotated. The transcript has 6 exons. The record is from RefSeq and is a predicted model, not a curated record. NCBI's taxonomy places the organism in Eukaryota, Viridiplantae, Streptophyta, Magnoliopsida, Fagales, Juglandaceae.